UAACAUCCGGAAACGGGUGCUAAUACCGCAUAGGUUUUCUUGAUCGGCAUGAUUGAGAAGGAAAGACGGCCUUUGUGCUGUCGCUUAUGGAUGGACCCGCGGCGUAGUUAGUUAGUUGGUGAGGUAACGGCUCACCAAGACGAUGGAUACCGUAGCCGACCUGAGAGGGUGAUCGGCCACAUUGGGACUGAGACACGGCCCAAACUCCUACGGGAGGCAGCAGUAGGGAAUCUUCCGCAAUGGACGAAAGUCUGACGGAGCAACGCCGCGUGAGUGAAAGAAGGUUUUCGGAUCGUAAAACUCUGUUGUCAGAGAAGAACAAGUUGGAGAGUAACUGCUCCGGCCUUGACGGUAUCUGACCAGAAAGCCACGGCUAACUACGUGCCAGCAGCCGC
This 395-nucleotide ribosomal RNA is filed under the name uncultured bacterium. Its description in RNAcentral is "bacterial SSU rRNA". It matches the Rfam family "Bacterial small subunit ribosomal RNA", at positions 144 to 518 of the family's 1533-position model. The record is from RNAcentral.